RNAcentral lists this long non-coding RNA (2043 nucleotides) under Ixodes scapularis (black-legged tick). Its description in RNAcentral is "uncharacterized LOC121835291". Lineage: Eukaryota; Metazoa; Arthropoda; Arachnida; Ixodida; Ixodidae. The record is from RNAcentral.
UUGGCUUUUCUUAGAGCAUUCAUAAGUUCCAAAAAUGGCAACGGCUUCUUUCCCGACGCCUCCACCAUUUCUUCCCACGCCAGGUGCCCCUGUGCAGCCUUGGUUAAAUUGGAAAACGUCGUUUUUAAAUUAUAUUGUGGUCCUAGAGGCUGAUGAAAGCUCGCCGAAGCGUAAGCGCGCGUUGUUGUGGUCUUUGCUUGGUCUCGAAGGCCAAAGAAUAGUUUCAACGUUCCCAUCCACGGCCCUCGCCCAUAGCGAGACCGUCUCCGAAUUUGACGUUCUUAUGACGGCGCUUGAUCAGCACUUCGCUGCCAAAAACAAUGCUGUUGUCGAACGGAGGUUGUUCCUCACCCGCGUCCAGUCGCAGGGAGAAAGUGUCCUUGAGUACCUUGGUGCCCUACGGCACCUCGGCUCUUUUUGUGAUUUUGGGGAGUCUCUUGAAACCGCAUCGCGGAAGUUUUUUUGGCCGGGUUAUUAUCAUCGGAGGUACACAAUCGGGUAAUCCGAGAGUCUGCGGAAGCUGGACUACCCAGCCUCGAACGUAUCGUGCUUCUGGCACAACAGUUCGAACCAGCUGCUCGAGAUUGCGAUCGUUACCGCCAAAUUGCAUCAUGUCUUCCGCGUUCCGAGUCGACACAGGCCGUUGAGGCAGUACAAAGGGUUCCCGUUCGGCGUGGACAAGAUGGCCGCCAAUUGAAGUCAAAUUCGAACAUGCAACGUCAAAAUGGAGGGCGGCCUCCUGCCGUUUCCUCCUCCCCCGCAAAUGUUUCCUCCUCACCUUCCAAGGUUUCCUUCUCGCCGCGCCACCAGUCGCGUGGACUCACCCGCGUUUUUACAAGUCGACUGCCUCGUGAUGCUCCUCCGGGCGCGCGCGCUUUUGGGCGCGGGGCGGAAUCGUGCCAGUUUUGCGGUCUCCGACCCCAUCCGCGAGAGGAGUGUCCAGCGUCCGGAAUUACUUGUUUUUCUUGUGGCAAGAUAGGCCACUUUUCAAAUGUUUGCCGAAGUUCGUCUUCGUCGUCUGAAGUCAUCGACCCCCGUCGCCUGGCGUUUCCGCCGGGACGAGGCCGCGCCGCCGGUCGCCGGUACGAGAGGCUUGGACCUGGCCGUAACCAGACGCCGAUCCAUGGAAUCGUGACGUCUCCCGACGACGACGACGAGGGGGAACAACAGCCAAACAACGUCUUCACCGUCGGAUCCCCGGAGGUCCUCCCUGAAGGACGUGUCGACCGUCGCCCACUGAAUUUCACAGCUGAUGUUCAGCUGACCCUCGCUCCGCCAUCCCGGGACAUGUAAAGUCGGCUGGAGUCCCGCAGCCCCCAUGUACGGUGGAGCCCAGUCGUCCAUCGCGUCCUCCAAGUGCUCCCUGCAAGCACCCUUCAUCAUUGUCCACUGUUCACGGCACUCAGCCAUCCACGUCGUCUGAGUACUACUCAAGUAGAGGCGUCUUCGGAGACCAGCCUUCAAGGGAUCCGUCGACGUCGGGACCAUCUUUGCAACCUUCAUCGCCCCUGAUGCCGGUCUUGUCCCGACGGCCCAAGAGGUCGUCUCUGCCACUGCGGCCCCUGUGGCCGCCCAUGCUACUGCGGCACCCGGCCCUGGCCAUAUUGCCGUGGCGCCUGGUGCCCAUAGUCAUGCGACCCCUGGCGCCGCCCAUGAUCCUGCUGUGCCAGGCGUCGUUCCUCAUCAUACGGCUCCUGCAGCCCAUGUAGCUGUGGUCCCUGGUGCUGCCCAUGUACCGGUAGUACCCGGUGCCCUCCCUGUUCCUGGCGUACCCGGCACUAGUUCCGUGGUACCCUGUACCGUGCAAGAUGCAGUGGUUUCCGGUGGCCUUCCCGCCACCCCAGUCCCCGGUGCCGUUCCUGAUUCCGGUUUCCAAGCGGCCUUUCCCGCUGCUGUACCAGUCCAAGCCAGCAGCCAGCCACCAGUUCUGCCGGCUGCCCAGGCUAGUCUUCCAAGAGGCCCCCAGGGUCGCUUUCCAGGAGGGUCCUGAACCUUCCGUUCCUUCAAGCGGUGCAAUAGUGAGCACCGCAUCAAGUUCAUCAC